This 94-nucleotide transfer RNA is filed under the name Ictidomys tridecemlineatus (thirteen-lined ground squirrel). RNAcentral's name for it is "Spermophilus tridecemlineatus (thirteen-lined ground squirrel) tRNA". It matches the Rfam family "tRNA". From Rfam's summary of the family: Transfer RNA (tRNA) molecules are approximately 80 nucleotides in length. The record is from Rfam by way of RNAcentral. Lineage: Eukaryota; Metazoa; Chordata; Mammalia; Rodentia; Sciuridae.
GGGGCUGUAGCUCAGUGGCAGAGCACUUGCCUAGCAUGCAUGAGGCACUGAAGCUAAAGCACUAAGAAGAGUCUGGGUCCGAUCCUCAGCACCA